Molecule: ribosomal RNA, 403 nt
Filed under: Fusobacteriota bacterium
Lineage: Bacteria; Fusobacteriati; Fusobacteriota
Description: Fusobacteria bacterium partial 16S ribosomal RNA
Rfam family: Bacterial small subunit ribosomal RNA
Source: RNAcentral
UGGGGAAUAUUGCACAAUGGAGGGAACUCUGAUGCAGCGACGCCGCGUGAACGAAGAAGGCUUUCGAGUCGUAAAGUUCUUUUAUAUGGGAAGAUAAUGACGGUACCAUAAGAAAAAGCCCCGGCUAACUACGUGCCAGCAGCCGCGGUAAUACGUAGGGGGCUAGCGUUGUCCGGAAUCACUGGGCGUAAAGGGUUCGCAGGCGGAAAUGCAAGUCAGGUGUAAAAGGCAGUAGCUUAACUACUGUAAGCAUUUGAAACUGCAUAUCUUGAGAAGAGUAGAGGUAAGUGGAAUUUUUAGUGUAGCGGUGAAAUGCGUAGAUAUUAAAAAGAAUACCGGUGGCGAAGCCGACUUACUGGGCUCAUUCUGACGCUGAGGAACGAAAGCGUGGGUAGCAAACAGG